GACCCCGUAGCUCAGCUGGAUAGAGCAGUUGCCUUCUAAGCAACAGGUCGGAGGUUCGAAUCCUCUCGGGGUCGCCA
Molecule: transfer RNA, 77 nt
Filed under: Pseudomonadota bacterium
Lineage: Bacteria; Pseudomonadati; Pseudomonadota
Description: Proteobacteria bacterium (groundwater metagenome) tRNA-Arg
Rfam family: tRNA
About the family: Transfer RNA (tRNA) molecules are approximately 80 nucleotides in length. Their secondary structure includes four short double-helical elements and three loops (D, anti-codon, and T loops). Further hydrogen bonds mediate the characteristic L-shaped molecular structure. tRNAs have two regions of fundamental functional importance: the anti-codon, which is responsible for specific mRNA codon recognition, and the 3' end, to which the tRNAs corresponding amino acid is attached (by aminoacyl-tRNA synthetases). tRNAs cope with the degeneracy of the genetic code in two manners: having more than one tRNA (with a specific anti-codon) for a particular amino acid; and 'wobble' base-pairing, i.e. permitting non-standard base-pairing at the 3rd anti-codon position.
Source: RNAcentral